RNAcentral lists this long non-coding RNA (221 nucleotides) under Physcomitrium patens. RNAcentral describes it as "long non-coding RNA (PPAT_LNC010858)". Lineage: Eukaryota; Viridiplantae; Streptophyta; Bryopsida; Funariales; Funariaceae. The record is from RNAcentral.
AUGCUGUCAGAAACUGAGACAAAUGUUGAUUAAGAUCUGCACCCGGAAAGCCUCUAAAAGUAGGUAAUGGAGCCAUGCUCGUUGUGCGAUUGCUCACGUCACCCAUUUGUAGUCCUAUUGGAAUCGCUAGACCACCCGUCGCCAUUGAAGAGGACAAUGUGCCGCUUAAUCUCUUAUUAAAAUUACCAAUUUUAAACUUUCUAGACUUUCUAAUUUUAGAC